UUCGCCCUUUUCCGGUUGAUCCUGCCGGACCCCACUGCUAUCGAGGUGGGACUAAGCCAUGCUAGUUGAGCGCACAGAACUAUGUCUGUGAGCGGCACACUGCUCAGUAACACAUAGCUAACCUACCCUUAGGACGUGGACAACCCCGAGAAAUUGGGGCUAAUCCGCGAUAGAUGUAAUGUCCUGGAAUGGUAUUACGUCCAAAGGUAUCCCAUACAUGUUUGGUAUACGCCUAAGGAUGGGGCUGCGGCCGAUCAGGCUGUUGGUGAGGUAAUGGCUCACCAAACCUUUGACCGGUACGGGCCAUGAGAGUGGUAGCCCGGAGAUGGACACUGAGACAAGGGUCCAGGCCCUACGGGGCGCAGCAGGCGCGAAACCUCCUCAAUGCACUUACGUGCGAAGGGGCUACCUCGAGUGCCACCUGAUGAAGGUGGUUUUUCCUAGGUCUAAAAAGCCUUG
This 459-nucleotide ribosomal RNA is filed under the name uncultured archaeon. Its description in RNAcentral is "bacterial SSU rRNA". It matches the Rfam family "Archaeal small subunit ribosomal RNA", at positions 1 to 431 of the family's 1478-position model. The record is from RNAcentral.